Molecule: long non-coding RNA, 264 nt
Organism: Ostrea edulis (European flat oyster)
Lineage: Eukaryota; Metazoa; Mollusca; Bivalvia; Ostreida; Ostreidae
Exons: 3
Source: RefSeq, a predicted model, not a curated record
AGGAUUAUCAUGGUGACAAGCGCUACAUCGCAGCUCAAGGACCGAAAACAAAUACUUUAUCAGACUUUUGGAGAAUGAUUUGGCAGGAAAACGUUAAAGUAAUUGUCAUGCUCACCAAUAUCGUGGAAAAUGGAAAGACCAAAUGUAUUAAAUAUUGGCCAGACGCAGAUAAACCUUUAGAUAUAGGUCAAUGCAGAAUUGCCCUCUUGGAGGAAACUACCUAUGCAUUUUAUACUGUACGCAAAAUGUCGGUUAAGAAGAAAA